GGUUUGCUGGAGGUAUCAGAAGUGCGAAUGCUGACAUGAGUAACGAUAAAGGGGGUGAAAAACCUCCUCGCCGGAAGACCAAGGGUUCCUGUCCAACGUUAAUCGGGGCAGGGUAAGUCGACCCCUAAGGCGAGGCCGAAAGGCGUAGUCGAUGGGAAACGGGUUAAUAUUCCCGUACUGCUUAUAACUGCGAUGGGGGGACGGAGAAGGCUAGGUGAGCUUGGCGACGGUUGUCCAAGUUCAAGUGCGUAGGUGGGUGUCUUAGGUAAAUCCGGGACGCUGUUAACACUGAGACACGAUGUCGAGUCACUACGGUGAUGAAGUCAUUGAUGCCAUGCUUCCGGGA
RNAcentral lists this ribosomal RNA (346 nucleotides) under Enterovibrio norvegicus FF-162. RNAcentral's name for it is "bacterial LSU rRNA". It matches the Rfam family "Bacterial large subunit ribosomal RNA", at positions 1267 to 1613 of the family's 2925-position model. The record is from RNAcentral. Lineage: Bacteria; Pseudomonadati; Pseudomonadota; Gammaproteobacteria; Vibrionales; Vibrionaceae.